UCCAGACUCCUACGGGAGGCAGCAGUGGGGGAUAUUGCACAAUGGGGGGAACCCUGAUGCAGCGACGCCGCGUGGGUGAAGGAGCGUUUCGGCGCGUAAAGCCCUCUCGGCAGGGAAGAAGGAGGACGGUACCUGACUAAGAAGCCCCGGCUAACUACGUGCCAGCAGCCGCGGUAAUACGUAGGGGGCAAGCGUUAUCCGGAUUUACUGGGUGUAAAGGGGGCGCAGACGGCAGCGCAAGCCAGGAGUGAAAGCCCGGGGCCCAACCCCGGGACUGCUCUUGGAACUGCGCGGCUGGAGUGCAGGAGGGGCAGGCGGAAUUCCUGGUGUAGCGGUGAAAUGCGUAGAUAUCAGGAGGAACACCGGUGGCGAAGGCGGCCUGCUGGACUGCGACUGACGUCGAGGCCCGAAAGCGUGGGGAGCAAACAGGAUUAGAUACCCCAGUA
RNAcentral lists this ribosomal RNA (446 nucleotides) under uncultured bacterium. Its description in RNAcentral is "partial 16S ribosomal RNA". It matches the Rfam family "Bacterial small subunit ribosomal RNA", at positions 330 to 792 of the family's 1533-position model. The record is from RNAcentral.